GCUGGCGUAGCUCAGCUGGUAGAGCAGCUGAUUUGUAAUCAGCAGGUCGGGGGUUCGAGUCCCUCCAUCGGCU
This 73-nucleotide transfer RNA is filed under the name Nitrospina sp. RNAcentral describes it as "tRNA-Thr". It matches the Rfam family "tRNA". Rfam says of the family: Transfer RNA (tRNA) molecules are approximately 80 nucleotides in length. The record is from RNAcentral. Lineage: Bacteria; Pseudomonadati; Nitrospinota; Nitrospinia; Nitrospinales; Nitrospinaceae.